CGAGGAGCUUGCUGCAUGAAUCCGUGAGUACAGUUUACAAACUGUCGCCACGGAUUGUUUUUUUUUCUCCUACAGGUGACUUCACUGGCUCCGUAGUCUCGCGAGAGGUGCAGGUCUGCAGCUGGAUACAUCUGUGACAAGGGGCGUAAAGGGGAGAAAAAGAAACCAUUCUGCGCAGCGUUCUUGAUGCUCAGACCAUCGUAAUAUUAUUGCACUGCAGUAAUGUCAGUGGAACAAGAAAAGAACUCUCUGGCUGAGACUCCAAGUCUCCAGGAGGAACAGAGUGUAAGAUCAGGCUCACAUGUGUCCAGCUCUGUGUCUGUGAAAAGUGACUGUUCAAAACAUAAUGCACCAAACUUCAGUGAGACUUCUAACAAAAGUAACAAAGAGCAAAAUAACAGUAUAAAUAUUGGUGCCGAAUUUAAACGGUGGAAAACUUUAAAAAAAACAGAAGGGUAUGACGAGUGAUGUGGAACUGGCAGCUUUUCUUCUGAACAGGUGGGGACACAAGAUACCACAGUUUACACUUUACAAUCAGUUUGCAUAAAUAACAAUGUAAAUGGAUCAACUUUGCCAAAAUGUUUACAUUUUUUUUUUUCCCCAGAGACUGAAUAAGCCAUAAUAUGUAACCUGGUUUUUGAAGUGUGAUGUACAUGUGUCUUGAACAUAUGCAGUGAUCCAUAUAACAAUGAAAAUGAAUAAGAAAUACAUUGACAGUUUUUGAAAGUUAAAUUCAGC
Molecule: long non-coding RNA, 738 nt
Filed under: Sinocyclocheilus grahami
Lineage: Eukaryota; Metazoa; Chordata; Actinopteri; Cypriniformes; Cyprinidae
Description: lncRNA (ENSSGRG00000016257.1)
Source: RNAcentral